RNAcentral lists this long non-coding RNA (985 nucleotides) under Fukomys damarensis (Damara mole-rat). RNAcentral's name for it is "lncRNA (ENSFDAG00000025681.1)". The record is from RNAcentral. Lineage: Eukaryota; Metazoa; Chordata; Mammalia; Rodentia; Bathyergidae.
CCCCCAUGGCCGCUCAGCCCCAGCCCUCAGCCCACCCUUGAGGGAAUCUCCUGCCAGGGAUUCCCUUCUUAUUCCUUCUUGCCGUCCACCAAAAACCAAUUCAAUUGUCUUUUUGAGAAUAAAGCCUGGGCUAGUCUUGCCAAAAAUACAUACAUACAUAACUGUGUUUUGUACCCAGUUGAGAGAUGGCAUGGUGUCAGCAAUAGACUUGGAAUCUCGAUGCUGUUCCACAUUCCAUGAGUAUGAUGCUUGUGCCCUUCUGGCUCUAUACCAAGUCCUUUUCUCUCUCCAAUCUCCUCUUCUAAGGGAAAAACUCUUGUGUCCCGCAGAGCAGAGAAGACCAGCUGCCUGGCUAUAUGAGGCACGUGAAGACUUCUAUAAACAGCUUUUCUAUCUGUGUCCCCCAAAUCCAGGGCCACAGUACUCAGUGUGGUAGGAGGUCAGACCCUCGGGGUUCUGCAUAGGGAUGGGCGCCCACUACAAGCCCUAGCUUGUGACUUUUUUCUGCUGAGCCGGUCACCACUCAGAGCUGUGGAACUCUCUAGUCCACUGUUCUUCUUUUGUUUUAUCAUUUCUUAUUCUUGAUGUCCUUGAUGAAUAGCCUUGCAGUUUCUAAAAUUGGGUUGGAGGUUCACAGACUUCCUUGGGGAGACAGCCACAAAGCCCAGGAAGAAAGCAGGUGAGUGUUAUCACCUUAGGUCUCACUGUAUCCAGGUGCUCUUCAGUUUCCUGUUGUUACAUGGCCUCCACAAUGAGCUAUGUCUCCAUUCCUUUUUUAAAAUUUCAAGACAGCUUCUUGCUGAGUUGCCCAGGAUGGGCUCUUUUUUGAGAUUGAUCCUCUUGUUCAAUUUCCCAGAGUGCUGGGUUUGUAGGAACGUGUCACAAUGUCCUAUGUGCUGUCCACAGGCUCCUGCCCCAUAAGGGCUCAUGUUGUCCCUGUAACAUAAGAGGAAGAUUAAGACCAGGCUCAUGGUAUGCUGCUUGC